CCUACGGGUGGCAGCAGUGGGGAAUAUUGCACAAUGGGCGAAAGCCUGAUGCAGCAACGCCGCGUGAAGGAAGACGGUUUUCGGAUUGUAAACUUCUGUUCUUAGUGAAGAAUAAUGACGGUAACUAAGGAGCAAGCCACGACUAACUACGUGCCAGCAGCCGCGGUAAUACGUAGGUGGCAAGCGUUGUCCGGAAUUACUGGGUGUAAAGGGAGCGUAGGCGGGAAGCCAAGUCAGCGGUGAAAACUACGGGCUUAACCUGUAGACUGGAGUUUAAAAUGGCUUUCUUGAGUGAAGUAGAGGUUGGCGGAAUUCCGGGGUUAGCGGUGAAAUGCGUAGAGAUUCGGAGGAACACCGGGUGCGAAGGCGGCCAACUAGGCUUUAACUGACGCUGAGGCUCGAAAGUGUGGGGAGCAAACAGGAUUAGAUACCCGGGUAGUC
RNAcentral lists this ribosomal RNA (441 nucleotides) under uncultured bacterium. Its description in RNAcentral is "partial 16S ribosomal RNA". It matches the Rfam family "Bacterial small subunit ribosomal RNA", at positions 338 to 795 of the family's 1533-position model. The record is from RNAcentral.